CCUACGGGGGGCUGCAGUGAGGAAUAUUGGUCAAUGGACGAGAGUCUGAACCAGCCAAGUCGCGUGAAGGAAGACGGUUCUAUGAAUUGUAAACUUCUUUUGUGCAGGAAUAAAGUGGGUUACGUGUAACCUUUUGUAUGUACUGUACGAAUAAGGAUCGGCUAACUCCGUGCCAGCAGCCGCGGUAAUACGGAGGAUCCGAGCGUUAUCCGGAUUUAUUGGGUUUAAAGGGUGCGUAGGUGGAUUGAUAAGUCAGCGGUGAAAGUUUGCAGCUUAACUGUAAAAUUGCCGUUGAAACUGUCGGUCUUGAGUGCAAAUGAGGUAGGCGGAAUGUGUUGUGUAGCGGUGAAAUGCUUAGAUAUAACACAGAACUCCGAUUGCGAAGGCAGCUUACUGGGAUGCAACUGACACUGAUGCACGAAAGCGUGGGUAUCAAACAGGAUUAGAUACCCGAGUAGUC
Molecule: ribosomal RNA, 460 nt
Filed under: uncultured Paludibacter sp.
Lineage: Bacteria; Pseudomonadati; Bacteroidota; Bacteroidia; Bacteroidales; Paludibacteraceae
Description: bacterial SSU rRNA
Rfam family: Bacterial small subunit ribosomal RNA
Source: RNAcentral